GGGGUACACGAGUGGCGAACGGGUGAGUAACACGUGGGUAAUCUGCCCUGCACUUCGGGAUAAGCCUGGGAAACUGGGUCUAAUACCGGAUAUGAACUCCUGCCGCAUGGUGGGGGUUGGAAAGUUUUUCGGUGCAGGAUGAGCCCGCGGCCUAUCAGCUUGUUGGUGGGGUAAUGGCCUACCAAGGCGACGACGGGUAGCCGGCCUGAGAGGGUGAUCGGCCACACUGGGACUGAGACACGGCCCARACUCCUACGGGAGGCAGCAGUGGGGAAUAUUGCACAAUGGGCGAAAGCCUGAUGCAGCGACGCCGCGUGGGGGAUGACGGUCUUCGGAUUGUAAACCCCUUUCAGUAGGGACGAAGCGCAAGUGACGGUACCUGCAGAAGAAGCACCGGCUAACUACGUGCCAGCAGCCGCGGUAAUACGUAGGGUGCGAGCGUUGUCCGGAAUUACUGGGCGUAAAGAGCUCGUAGGCGGUUUGUCACGUCGUCUGUGAAAUCCCUCGGCUUAACCGGGGGCGUGCAGGCGAUACGGGCAGACUUGAGUACUACAGGGGAGACUGGAAUUCCUGGUGUAGCGGUGAAAUGCGCAGAUAUCAGGAGGAACACCGGUGGCGAAGGCGGGUCUCUGGGUAGUAACUGACGCUGAGGAGCGAAAGCAUGGGUAGCGAACAGGAUUAGAUACCCUGGUAGUCCAUGCCGUAAACGGUGGGCGCUAGGUGUGGGGUCCUUCCACGGACUCCGUGCCGUARCUAACGCAUUAAGCGCCCCGCCUGGGGAGUACGGCCGCAAGGCUAAAACUCAAAGGAANUGACGGGGG
RNAcentral lists this ribosomal RNA (821 nucleotides) under bacterium RB14DO. RNAcentral's name for it is "bacterial SSU rRNA". It matches the Rfam family "Bacterial small subunit ribosomal RNA", at positions 84 to 919 of the family's 1533-position model. The record is from RNAcentral.